This 1488-nucleotide ribosomal RNA is filed under the name uncultured bacterium. RNAcentral describes it as "bacterial SSU rRNA". It matches the Rfam family "Bacterial small subunit ribosomal RNA". The record is from RNAcentral.
GGAUGAACGCUGGCGGCGUGCCUAAUACAUGCAAGUCGAGCGAACAGACAAGGAGCUUGCUCCUUUGACGUUAGCGGCGGACGGGUGAGUAACACGUGGGUAACCUACCUAUAAGACUGGGAUAACUUCGGGAAACCGGAGCUAAUACCGGAUAAUAUUUCGAACCGCAUGGUUCGAUAGUGAAAGAUGGUUUUGCUAUCACUUAUAGAUGGACCCGCGCCGUAUUAGCUAGUUGGUAAGGUAACGGCUUACCAAGGCGACGAUACGUAGCCGACCUGAGAGGGUGAUCGGCCACACUGGAACUGAGACACGGUCCAGACUCCUACGGGAGGCAGCAGUAGGGAAUCUUCCGCAAUGGGCGAAAGCCUGACGGAGCAACGCCGCGUGAGUGAUGAAGGUCUUCGGAUCAUAAAACUCUGUUAUUAGGGAAGAACAUACGUGUAAGUAACUAUGCACGUCUUGACGGUACCUAAUCAGAAAGCCACGGCUAACUACGUGCCAGCAGCCGCGGUAAUACGUAGGUGGCAAGCGUUAUCCGGAAUUAUUGGGCGUAAAGCGCGCGUAGGCGGUUUUUUAAGUCUGAUGUGAAAGCCCACGGCUCAACCGUGGAGGGUCAUUGGAAACUGUAAAACUUGAGUGCAGAAGAGGAAAGUGGAAUUCCAUGUGUAGCGGUGAAAUGCGCAGAGAUAUGGAGGAACACCAGUGGCGAAGGCGACUUUCUGGUCUGUAACUGACGCUGAUGUGCGAAAGCGUGGGGAUCAAACAGGAUUAGAUACCCUGGUAGUCCACGCCGUAAACGAUGAGUGCUAAGUGUUAGGGGGUUUCCGCCCCUUAGUGCUGCAGCUAACGCAUUAAGCACUCCGCCUGGGGAGUACGACCGCAAGGUUGAAACUCAAAGGAAUUGACGGGGACCCGCACAAGCGGUGGAGCAUGUGGUUUAAUUCGAAGCAACGCGAAGAACCUUACCAAAUCUUGACAUCCUUUGACAACUCUAGAGAUAGAGCCUUCCCCUUCGGGGGACAAAGUGACAGGUGGUGCAUGGUUGUCGUCAGCUCGUGUCGUGAGAUGUUGGGUUAAGUCCCGCAACGAGCGCAACCCUUAAGCUUAGUUGCCAUCAUUAAGUUGGGCACUCUAAGUUGACUGCCGGUGACAAACCGGAGGAAGGUGGGGAUGACGUCAAAUCAUCAUGCCCCUUAUGAUUUGGGCUACACACGUGCUACAAUGGACAAUACAAAGGGCAGCGAAACCGCGAGGUCAAGCAAAUCCCAUAAAGUUGUUCUCAGUUCGGAUUGUAGUCUGCAACUCGACUACAUGAAGCUGGAAUCGCUAGUAAUCGUAGAUCAGCAUGCUACGGUGAAUACGUUCCCGGGUCUUGUACACACCGCCCGUCACACCACGAGAGUUUGUAACACCCGAAGCCGGUGGAGUAACCAUUUGGAGCUAGCCGUCGAAGGUGGGACAAAUGAUUGGGGUGAAGUCGUAACAAGG